UCUACACAGCACAACACAGAUGACAUAUUCUUCAUUCAUCCUUAUUAGUUGUCAUCUCCUGGUUUCUCUCACUGCCUUAGUUAACUCUACAGAGCAUGGAACUUCCUGUAGCUGCCUGUUUACAAUUUCAAGGAACUUGCACAGUUUUACUGCUUUACACACAGCAUUGAUGUAGGUUCAACAACUGAAUGUGUGUGCUUCUGUUU
Pelobates cultripes (western spadefoot toad) is the source of this 206-nucleotide non-coding RNA. Lineage: Eukaryota; Metazoa; Chordata; Amphibia; Anura; Pelobatidae. The record is from the annotation of a GenBank genome assembly.